This 359-nucleotide long non-coding RNA is filed under the name Anser brachyrhynchus (Pink-footed goose). RNAcentral describes it as "lncRNA (ENSABRG00000004158.1)". The record is from RNAcentral. Lineage: Eukaryota; Metazoa; Chordata; Aves; Anseriformes; Anatidae.
UUCUUAGCUAGGAAAUCUUGGCCAAGAUUUUGCUAGGAAGUUGAAGGAAAAUAUACUGAAUAUUAGAGUCUAUUAAUUCAAGAAAAUAAAUGGAGGUGUUAUGACUUUGCUAACUUCUGUGGAGUUGUUGUGUCUAUACUCAGUGCCAUGGCACGGAGGAUGAAGACAGCUGUUGAAUAUGCAGCUAUUUGUAGAAUGAACUGAAAUACAGGAAUCACUUUUAUCAGGUAUGAAGAUUAUACCUUGAGCACAAUUUUUUGAAGAUAAUGAAGAUUGUGCUCAUUGAGGUCAUUUGGAACGGAUCUCAGACUGGCUGCCGUAAGCUCUGAACAUGAAACCUGCUACAGAUUGAUAGGGCA